Molecule: ribosomal RNA, 254 nt
Filed under: uncultured bacterium
Lineage: Bacteria
Description: partial 16S ribosomal RNA
Rfam family: Bacterial small subunit ribosomal RNA
Source: RNAcentral
UACGUAGGGGGCAAGCGUUGUCCGGAUUUAUUGGGCGUAAAGCGCGUGUAGGCGGUUCGGUAAGUCCGCUGUGAAAGUCGGGGGGCUCAACCCUCGGAUGCCGGUGGAUACUGUCGGGCUUGAGUACGGAAGAGGCGAGUGGAAUUCCUGGUGUAGCGGUGAAAUGCGCAGAUAUCAGGAGGAACACCGAUGGCGAAGGCAGAUCUCUGGGCCGUAACUGACGCUGAGGAGCGAAAGCAUGGGGAGCGAACAGG